UCCGCACCGCAUCAUCCACUGUCA
RNAcentral lists this non-coding RNA (24 nucleotides) under Arabidopsis thaliana (thale cress). The record is from RNAcentral. Lineage: Eukaryota; Viridiplantae; Streptophyta; Magnoliopsida; Brassicales; Brassicaceae.